AAUUAAUGUAAUAAGACAUCUUAUGUA
RNAcentral lists this non-coding RNA (27 nucleotides) under Cricetulus griseus (Chinese hamster). Lineage: Eukaryota; Metazoa; Chordata; Mammalia; Rodentia; Cricetidae. The record is from RNAcentral.